GAAUCUUCCACAAUGGACGGAAGUCUGAUGGAGCAACGCCGCGUGAGCGAAGAAGGUCUUCGGAUCGUAAAGCUCUGUUGUAAGGGAAGAAUAAGUACAGUAGUACCUGGCUGUACCUUGACGGUACCUUACGAGAACGCCACGGCUAACUACGUGCCAGCAGCCGCGGUAAUACGUAGGUGGCAAGCGUUGUCCGGAAUUAUUGGGCGUAAAGCGCGCGCAGGCGGUUCUUUAAGUCUGAUGUGAAAGCCCACGGCUCAACCGUGGAGGGUCAUUGGAAACUGGAGAACUUGAGUACAGAAGAGGAAAGCGGAAUUCCACGUGUAGCGGUGAAAUGCGUAGAGAUGUGGAGGAACACCAGUGGCGAAGGCGGCUUCCUGGUCUGUAACUGACGCUGAGGCGCGAAAGCGUGGGGAGCAAAC
Molecule: ribosomal RNA, 422 nt
Filed under: uncultured bacterium
Lineage: Bacteria
Description: bacterial SSU rRNA
Rfam family: Bacterial small subunit ribosomal RNA
Source: RNAcentral